Long non-coding RNA from Lemur catta (Ring-tailed lemur), 3322 nucleotides. RefSeq lists it as uncharacterized. The record is from RefSeq and is a predicted model, not a curated record. NCBI's taxonomy places the organism in Eukaryota, Metazoa, Chordata, Mammalia, Primates, Lemuridae. The transcript is spliced from 5 exons.
UGGAAAAACUGUCUUCCACGAAACCUGUUCCUGGUGCCAAAAAGGUUGGGGACCGCUGCUAUAAAGGGAAACAGCAACUCUGCAAAACUGAAAAUGAAAUAACUUCAACUUCAGGGCAAUUCUUAAAUGAUAGGGGGGAAAAAUGCACCCCUGGUAGACUUGGAAACAGCAUAUCUAACUCAGCCGAGAAAGCACAACAUAGGAUUGCAAAGAUGGAGUUUUUAUUAGUCUGGCUUCAGAAUGCAAAAAUAAAUAGAAAAACAAACAGAAAACAAACGUAUUUACAGAAAGCACAGUCAUUACUUAAAAGCAGCGCCCAUGCGGAGCUGUACUUUCUGGUCCUAGCGGCAUGUCAGGUUCCCUCACGCUGACGAGGAACCAUUCUAGAUUGUUUUCUCUGCAUCUUUCUGCUUUCUCAUGUGGCUGUUAAGAAGCCCCCUGCAAUUCUGACGACUUUACAUCCUUAGCCAUAACUACACUUGUUUUCCCUCUUGCAUCCUAAGAUCUUUUUACCUUCCAGACACUUAUGAUGUCUCCGUGCCUCCCUCCUGUGUCUUACAGAGAGGUAGGGGCAGGGACUGCGAUUGAAGCUGAAGCUGAAUUUUAAUUUCAAUCAUUUUAUUUUUAGCCCUUUUAAAAUUCAGGCAUCCACAGACUAAACUUGUUUAGAAGUAUAGGUGGCCCUGAAUUGCUUUGUCAACAACACUUCAAGGCCAUCCUCAUGGUUAUGGGAACUAGAAUCUCCUUCUCCAGGAUUUUGUGAACAGGUCUGUGUCUUCACAUCUCUAAUUAAAUGUCUCUUGCAUUCUCAUCCUUCACAACUGUAUGACGGCGUUGGUAUCAAAAUACUGUGUGCUUACUGGUUGUCCUAAAACUGAGGUACUUGCAGCCUUGCUUGCAGUAUAAAUAACACUUAAAUUCACAUUUUGCAUAACAGGGGCCCUGAUCCUCAUGGAUAGGGUCAUGAGAGUAUGAAACAUUCAAUACAUCCUGGCACACAAAUGUUAAAUAACGGUAAUAAAUUAAUAAAUACAUAAAUUAUGUAAAUAUUUAAAUAGCAUUAAUGUCAGCGGCAACUUGAUAGCUGGAAAAAUCCAUAUGUGAAUUAGCUUGAUUGCUUCUGUGGGCAGUUAGCAUCUACCUAUAAAAAUACAGCAAAGACAUCAUGGCGAUCCUAAAAAAAUUUUUUUAAAAAGCAAAUCAAGUGGAAAAUAUCUUUUUGGGUCUUUUCCAUUGUGUCUUUAAAAAAGCUUUGUCGACUGUCUUCUACUUUUCCUCCAAGGUUUCCUCCUGGGACCGGAACCUGAAAAAGAACGCCGAAAGUCUAUGUGGGAUAGACGUGCAGCAGCAAACCUUCUUCCUCACAGCACGUCAUUCCAGACAAUUGGGUUUUGGGAAUUUCAUGUCAGAAGGCCUGGGAAUUUCAUGUAUGUGGCCUAGAAUUUGGCUGUGUCAUGCUUGCCAUCCUUGCUGAAAAUCCUUGAGUGGCUCCCCAGGGCUCCUAAUGCAAGGUCCUAUCUCAUGGACGUUUGCAAGGCCUCCAUGCCCUGACUCCUGGCUACCUCUUUCUCUUCGUGGCCUCCCCCUCUAGGAGGGCAGGACCCACGGCUCUUUUCUUUACUGCAGCACAGUGCUCGACAGAACACAGGCAUCAAGUAACUACCUGUUAAGGAACAAACGUACAUUUCUGAUACUGGCAGCUCUGUGCUGGACACCCCAUCCCCCUUUCCUCUCUCGCACAGCCCCUCCUUUUCCCUGCACCUGGGACCACUGAGUGUGCGCCUCGGGCUUGGGCUUCCCGGGCCUGCUCACCUAACUGCAGGGCACAGAUGCCCAUUCGCUCCACGAUGAGCUAUAGUAGCGGUCCUGGGCUUGCACGCGAACGUUGGCAUGCUUUUGGCAGAUGACGGUGGCUGAGGUCUCAUCCGUGAAGACUCUAUCUUUCUGCAAAUGAGAAGGAAAUCCGUGAAGGUGCAUUGUCCAUUGGCAACGCAGUCACAAGCUUCAUGAGUUUGUAUCCUGAUCUUUUCAUUAGACAAACUUGCCUUGAAAUCCUGGCACUGCUACUUAACAGCUGGGGAACUUCAGUUGUGAGUCCACUGGGGAGUUACUCAACUCCCCUGAGCCCCGGGCUGGCACAUGUGAACCCCUCUGCCUCUGGUGCUCACGCCGGUGCCUGGGGAAGGCAGUCAUCAUCAACGGCCAUCUCCGUUACUGCGGGACCUGAGAGAUCUCAGCAUCCUCAUCGCUGCACAAUCACAUGGGCCCUCGCGGUGGAACCACCUCUGCUUAGUGCUCAGAAGAAAGUCCUUAGAGACAAGAAGACUCAGAUCUGGGCCAUACAGGCACGGACCAGCCUCUGGUGCUCAAGCCCUCACUUGGCACCAGACGCAGAACUGAGCUGAGCCUCUCGCUGGGGAUGAGCAAAUAAUUACUGAGCACCCAUGAUGUUCCAGCCACUAGACUAUGCGUGGAGGAUGCAGCAGUAUCCCAAAGACUCCCUCCUCAAGCAGGGGACCUUCUUCUGGACAAGGGGAGGGAGAGAUGAGCUAUGGCGUGUGCUUGGGCUCUGUGGGCCGGCACUGCUCCACACACAGACCACAGCUCCCAGCAGACAACAGUGUGUACAUCGUACUUCUCUGGGUGCAAAAUAGAUGAUGCUUGGAAACCCCCAUGCACUGUUACCCUAGUGCAUGGGACACUGUGAACAUGUGACAAAUCGUCCGAAACUCACUGAUGUCCCUGAUGAAGAAGCUGCUGGUGUAGUUUUCGUACUUGAGCUUGUGAACAGCAUCCAGCACGACCUCAAUGGGCAGGCUUUCCUCGGCGGCCGGGCAGGCACUGUCCUCCUGGCACUCCACCGAGAACCUCUUGUACUCCCCGUGGUCCCUCUCUGCAGAGAGUGUGGCGCUUCCACAUGUCACCCCUCCCGCAUCAGAGGAACUGGAGUCAAAGACAGAAAGUAUUCUGUGUCACACACUGGCGAGCGAGUGCCUACUGAUGGUAGCCAGCGAGGCAGGUGAGGCCUCAACUGCCUGCCUGAGUACACAAUUUUCUACCCAGAGGGUAAGAAACUGCCUUCCCCAGGAAAUAAGCUUAUCUCCAAGAGACAGCACAAAUGUUUAGAAACCUGCACUUAUGUGUCUCUGGCCUACAUGAACAUGGAAGUUUUUCAGAUUCAGAGUCGCUGAUUUAAUUAAAAUUAAAAAUUUAAAUUCGUUUUUCUAAUUUUAAUUACAAAAAUCAAUACAUGCUAAUUGCAAAAAUUAAAACGAUGAAGAUUUAUAUAAUGGGAAUAAGUGUGUGCCUUUUUCAUCUCCCC